AUGAGGGGUCAAAACUCAGGAUCAAAGCAUGAAAAUGGUAUGAAAAGAACUCAAUCAGUGAAGAAUGUUAGAGGAAGUUACUGUGAAUCAUCUCCAAGAAUUAGCGUUGCUUAUUCUGCGAACGAUUGGCGAAUGUCUUGUGAUUCUGAUAGUUCAAUCUAUGAAGCUGUUCUUCAUUGCAAAAGAUCUUUUGAAACAAUGAGUUAA
Molecule: non-coding RNA, 207 nt
Organism: Vicia faba (fava bean)
Lineage: Eukaryota; Viridiplantae; Streptophyta; Magnoliopsida; Fabales; Fabaceae
Source: the annotation of a GenBank genome assembly